RNAcentral lists this ribosomal RNA (405 nucleotides) under Staphylococcus pseudintermedius. Its description in RNAcentral is "bacterial SSU rRNA". It matches the Rfam family "Bacterial small subunit ribosomal RNA", at positions 1133 to 1533 of the family's 1533-position model. Lineage: Bacteria; Bacillati; Bacillota; Bacilli; Caryophanales; Staphylococcaceae. The record is from RNAcentral.
GGGCACUCUAAGUUGACUGCCGGUGACAAACCGGAGGAAGGUGGGGAUGACGUCAAAUCAUCAUGCCCCUUAUGAUUUGGGCUACACACGUGCUACAAUGGACAAUACAAAGGGCAGCGAAACCGCGAGGUCAAGCAAAUCCCAUAAAGUUGUUCUCAGUUCGGAUUGUAGUCUGCAACUCGACUACAUGAAGCUGGAAUCGCUAGUAAUCGUAGAUCAGCAUGCUACGGUGAAUACGUUCCCGGGUCUUGUACACACCGCCCGUCACACCACGAGAGUUUGUAACACCCGAAGCCGGUGGAGUAACCAUUUUGGAGCUAGCCGUCGAAGGUGGGACAAAUGAUUGGGGUGAAGUCGUAACAAGGUAGCCGUAUCGGAAGGUGCGGCUGGAUCACCUCCUUUCUA